RNAcentral lists this ribosomal RNA (378 nucleotides) under Pandarus sinuatus. Its description in RNAcentral is "partial 16S ribosomal RNA". Lineage: Eukaryota; Metazoa; Arthropoda; Copepoda; Siphonostomatoida; Pandaridae. The record is from RNAcentral.
GCAUCUGCCCAAUGACUCUUUUAAAUGGACUAUAAGGUAGCAAAAUAAUUUGUUUUUUAUUUAAAAACAUGUUUGAAGACAGCAUUAACUAAAUAUUUUUUCUCCUCUUGGGGGGAACUUAAGAAACCAGGGCAAACUCKGGUAAUCCCCUUUUARACRAUAAGACCCUAAAACCUUCACUAAGUUUUGCGGGGAURGCAAWUUAAAARGAAUAAAWUCUACCCAAUAUUUCYUACACCAUUUUAUAUGCUACCAAAGGUACUUUAGGGAUAACAGCGUUCCUCCCUUUCAAAGCGUCUAAUUUAUUAAGGGUAAUACCGACCUCGAUGUUGAAUUAAGCCCUGAACAGCCGCAGAAGGUGGAUUCAGCCUAAGCCUG